AAGAAAUCGCUGUGAAAUCAACAUGGCAGCGAUUUUUUACUUGCUGCCAUGUAUCUUUCUUGUUUCAAAACUAUAUGGUAGCGAUACAAAAAUCGCUGCCAUAUCAUUUGGCAGUGAUUUUUUACUCGCUGCCAUAUAU
Small nucleolar RNA from Carya illinoinensis, 139 nucleotides. RefSeq annotates it as small nucleolar RNA SNORA14. The record is from RefSeq and is a predicted model, not a curated record. NCBI's taxonomy places the organism in Eukaryota, Viridiplantae, Streptophyta, Magnoliopsida, Fagales, Juglandaceae. The transcript has a single exon.